CCCUUAUCCUUUGUUGCCAGCGGUCCGGCCGGGAACUCAAAGGAGACUGCCAGUGAUAAACUGGAGGAAGGUGGGGAUGACGUCAAGUCAUCAUGGCCCUUACGACCAGGGCUACACACGUGCUACAAUGGCGCAUACAAAGAGAAGCGACCUCGCGAGAGCAAGCGGACCUCAUAAAGUGCGUCGUAGUCCGGAUUGGAGUCUGCAACUCGACUCCAUGAAGUCGGAAUCGCUAGUAAUCGUGGAUCAGAAUGCCACGGUGAAUACGUUCCCGGGCCUUGUACACACCGCCCGUCACACCAUGGGAGCGGGUUGCAAAAGAAGUAGGUAGCUUAACCUUCGGGAGGGGGCGUACCACUUUGUGAUUCAUGACUGGGGUGACGUCGUAACAAGGUAA
This 397-nucleotide ribosomal RNA is filed under the name Pseudomonas aeruginosa. Its description in RNAcentral is "bacterial SSU rRNA". It matches the Rfam family "Bacterial small subunit ribosomal RNA", at positions 1102 to 1499 of the family's 1533-position model. Lineage: Bacteria; Pseudomonadati; Pseudomonadota; Gammaproteobacteria; Pseudomonadales; Pseudomonadaceae. The record is from RNAcentral.